Molecule: long non-coding RNA, 189 nt
Organism: Sphaeramia orbicularis (orbiculate cardinalfish)
Lineage: Eukaryota; Metazoa; Chordata; Actinopteri; Kurtiformes; Apogonidae
Exons: 3
Source: RefSeq, a predicted model, not a curated record
UUCAUUACACAUUUCCCAGUCCUGGUCCUCGAGGGCCGGUAUCCUGCAUGUUUUAGAUGUUUCCCUCUUCCGACACACCAGGUUCACAUGAUCAGCCUAUCACCCAGCUCUGCAGAAGCCUGAUAAUGACCUUCAGGUGUGCUGGAAGAGGGAAAAAUCUAAAACAUGCAGGAUACCGGCCCUCGAGGA